AACUAACGCUGGCGGCGCGCCUAACACAUGCAAGUCGUACGAGAAAGCCGGCUUCGGCUGGUGAGUAAAGUGGCGCACGGGUGAGUAACGCGUGGAUAAUCUGCCCUUAAGUGUGGAAUAACGUACCGAAAGGUGCGCUAAUACCGCAUAAUGCCUGGCAACACAAGUUGUCCGGCCAAAGAAGGCCUCUGUUUACAAGCUUUCGCUUCAGGAUGAGUCCGCGUACCAUUAGCUUGUUGGUGGGGUAAUGGCCUACCAAGGCUGCGAUGGUUAGCUGGUCUGAGAGGAUGAUCAGCCACACUGGAACUGAGACACGGUCCAGACUCCUACGGGAGGCAGCAGUGAGGAAUAUUGCGCAAUGGGGGCAACCCUGACGCAGCAACGCCGCGUGAGUGAGGAAGGUUUUCGGACUGUAAAGCUCUGUCGAGCGGGAAGAAGUGUACCAUGGCUAAUAUCCAUGAUAUUUGACGGUACCGCUAGAG
This 482-nucleotide ribosomal RNA is filed under the name uncultured bacterium. RNAcentral's name for it is "bacterial SSU rRNA". It matches the Rfam family "Bacterial small subunit ribosomal RNA", at positions 29 to 486 of the family's 1533-position model. The record is from RNAcentral.